GUUGCGACGCGGAUCGAGCGAAGCGAGAGAGCAAGAGAGUGGAGUGCGGGAGCGCGCAGGAGGGAGAGAGUUUUAAAUUGCGCCCCUUAAUCGACGUGUAAUCCUCUACAACCGUGACAGCCCGGACAUAAUGCGCGCAACGAGAGAUGACCAGUUUGUUUUCUCUGGUGGAUAAUGGGAGGUGCUGGAUGAUGGUGUUCUAUUCUUUUUCACUCUUGGCGACGCCACCAAGGAAAAUCGAGGACCGAUCGUGAUAAGUCAAGCUCAAGUUUCAAUUGCAGCAGCUGAUAUCGUACCAGAAGUCCGCAUUUAGCUGUGAGUGACGUCGGCACUUUGCAAAAGGUACUGGAGUUCCUUUCAGAACUGCUUAUUAAACUCCUAAGUAAACCGACCUGCCAAACGAGACGAUGGUAGGUAGCGUCCAAACGGUCCUAUCUUUUUUCCUUCAACCCUUUUAGGAUCCAUGAGGACAUAACGGAGACUGUCUUCACCCACGAUGUGCGAUAUCAAUAUCUAACACACUCCCACGAGAAGUACACCGGGGUCGAAAGGAAAAAAUUAGGAAAUCCACCCUCGAGGACCUCCUCUUCUCAUGCUCGAUCUGGCGGAUCGGCUACGUUCCAAGGAUCAAAAGGAUCCGGCCGAAUCGAUAUUUCCGAAAGUUGGGUAAAUCGAGAGAGUACAUCGCGCCCGGCCGAGAGAUCCCGUCGACAAGGGCAGGAGGGAAUUGGGGGACUCAAGAGCGCGAAAAUCCUUUCUCGGCGGCUUGUCUCAGAUCUUCGCCGUGAAGUGGCGGAUUUCAAAGGACCCGCGCCGCGCCUCCGGCUUCUUGGUUCUGCGUCCUACGAAACGACCGUGAAAUGGGCGCACGCUUCACCGGGAUUUCGGGGUGGCCCGGGAGUAAGGGAGAAGUGGCGGUCAGGGCGUUCGCUCCGUGAAGAUGCACGUAAACGUGUGCGUGAGAAAAAGCGCGGAACGAAGGAAAUACGUAACUCUUGAGGGUCGCCGGACUUGAGGGAGAAUGAUCGAGGAGAAUGAUUUUGAAAUCUGACCGUUUUAUUUGAGAAAGAUCUUGGCAAUGACCGUAUAAAUACCAUAUAAGAGAGAUUUUAUUAAUUAUUAUUUAAGGGUGUAAAUUACAGAUAGAUUAGAUGGGUCAAGCGAGUAAAAGCUUUUUUGUCGAUCCUUCGAUGGAUCAAGAUGGAUAGUGGACGAUUUCAUUAACUCUGCUUGCCGAUGGACGGACGUGGAUGAAAUUUAAACUCGUCGGCAGAUGAUUCAAUAGACGAAUGGACAACCGGACAACCGAUGGACGAGUGUCCAUCGUCUCCCAUUACAUUUCGAAAUAAUUAGUUUCACUGUUCAAAUAAUAACUCUAUCGACGACGUUACAAUUAAGUCAAGGGAAUUGCACUAGCAAAUUCUGAUGAUCGCCAUCGACCUCGUUACAAAUUCCCUCGAGAAUCGCCCGGAGGAUCUCCCGCGCGCAGGACGCUCGCAGAAUUUCGCCUCCUCACUCCGGCAGCAUAAUUCAUCGCGGGAACUGCGCGAAGUGCAUCAAACGCGCGCGAGUCACCACGAAUGGAGGAGCAAUGGUGAGAGUUCUAUGGUGUAUCGGGGUUAGUCGCUCGACGUGGUAGCCAGUAUUGUUCGUGGUUUACCACAAAAGCCUGCAAAUGCCAACUUGAAAAGCUGGCGGCUACCCUGCGUACACGCGUCUAAACAGAUGCGGAAAUACGAUGCUUACCGAAUUUUCUGCUGGCAUACGAGCUGACGUGUUGUGUGCCUGCAGAUUUCGAUUUUCGACGGAGCAAUCAAUAAUUACAGUUAAUAUAAAAAGCAAUGACCGCACAUGCGAUAUCUCUCUUUCGUUUAACUAAUACAAAAUUUGUUGAUUUGCUGAGUUCCGCUCGGAAAUGACUUUGAAGCGAUUUGUAAAGCAAACUGAGCACGAGUCGCGCUUGGAGAACGUCGACCUUCAAAGGCACGGCCAUUAAUCUUCGAUUAAGUGCUCAACGAUCGGUCAAGGUAAUUUCACGAGUUUUCCUGAAUUAGGAAGGACCGUCUCACCCUCCCGGCUGCUGUGCCCCCGUAUCCGUGCCCGAUUCGCUCCCUUCGUGGCCGUGUCGCUCAUGCUCUACAGGGGAAUCGUCGUCUCCGUCAGCCACCAGUAUGUCACCAUACAGACCAGCGCGCCGGUACAAUAAGGGCCGACUGUGGCGAUCGAUAUGUGCACUCGACGGAAACGACCCAACGAAAGGUCGAUCGAAGUGAAAUCACUGCGUCUGCGAGCGUAAAAAAUAAUAUUACGCAUCCAGAGAAUGACGGGGAGUCAUUAUGCGCUUUAUCUUUAUCCUGAAGAAUCGGCCCGUGUUUUCUUAUCUUCAUGAAACUCUGUCGUACAUUUUAAAGAAAAGAGCUGCCUCGCUUCUGUUAAAUGAACAGCGAGGAAUAGGUGUUUAAAAUAAUGUCGCUUUAUAAUUAGUGACUGAAGAAUAUUAAUUAACACUGACGGAGAUUUUCAAUAUUAUAGAAGGACGUUCUAAAAAUGGAUAUGAUAAAAAUACAGGCGAUGGACGUUUGUUGCGCUCGCUUUCACGUUAUUAUCUUCUUUUUUCAACCUGGCCGGUUAUGUGGACAUAGUUACGGGGUGUAAGCCCUUGGCAAAAACUGAUUGAAUCCCCCAAAAUCCAACACCUUUAUGGAUGCUGGCCGUCUGUCGCGCGCUAUGCACACAUUGAUAUAUCGUCCGCAUAAUGGCGCCAUUGAGGCAUUACUAUUAUUGGCGAGAUUUGGGGAAAAACGAUCGAGCGUACUAACGGAUUCGUCGCAGCUUGCACGCUGUUUGCAAAUAGAUCUUGUAUAGGAAAGUAUUGUUCACGCAGCAGUUAUCUUGAUGGAUCGGUGUGCCUAAAUUAGCGAUCUGCAAAAUCGUCCAAGCUUGUAUUUAUUUCCAAGAAUUAAACUUUUAUGUGGAAAGAGAGAGAGAGAGAGAGAGAGAGAGAGAAUAGAUUCAUGCAACAAACAUAUUAAUCUUUCUAAUUGGAGAAGUAUGACUAACAACAUCUCAUUGAUGACACAAAAAUACUGUAUUAAGUUUAUAUCAAGAAUUUUAUAAAUAAAAAGUGAAGGCGAAUAAAUCUGAUUUAAAUACGAAAAUGUUUCAAUGCAAACA
Long non-coding RNA from Ooceraea biroi (clonal raider ant), 3174 nucleotides. RefSeq lists it as uncharacterized. The record is from RefSeq and is a predicted model, not a curated record. NCBI's taxonomy places the organism in Eukaryota, Metazoa, Arthropoda, Insecta, Hymenoptera, Formicidae.